CUCUGGUUUCUUAAAGGGGUCAUAUUAACUAGGGAUAAUUUGGCACGGCGUAACUGGCAAGGGAGCAAAAAAUGUGUCUUCUGUCAGCACGACGAGUCUACUAAACACUUAAUUUUUGAGUGCAAGUUUGCUUGAUCUGUGUGGGCUGUUGUUCAAAUAGCUUCAAAUCUUUACCCACCACGUAGUGCACAGAAUAUAUUCGGCAAUUGGUUGAGGGGUAUUCAAAAACAAUUUUCUACACACAUUCUAGUGGGGGCAGCUGCCUUAUGUUGGGCACUGUGGCUUAAUAGGAAUGAUGUAGUGUUUAACAAUAAAAGUGUUUCAUCUCCUAUGCAGGUUAUCCAUACAUGCUCACGAUGGCUCCAUACUUGGUUUAUCCUGCAGAGGCCGGAGGACAAGGACAUUUUUAUGAUGGUGUCUACACGGCUGGAGCGUACGGCCAGGGAGGGUUCUUACCCCCAUGGAUGGCGGUGUGAUCUUCGGAUAGGAUCCGCCACAUCCUAG
RNAcentral lists this ribosomal RNA (504 nucleotides) under Triticum aestivum (bread wheat). RNAcentral describes it as "partial small subunit ribosomal RNA". Lineage: Eukaryota; Viridiplantae; Streptophyta; Magnoliopsida; Poales; Poaceae. The record is from RNAcentral.